This 492-nucleotide ribosomal RNA is filed under the name uncultured bacterium. Its description in RNAcentral is "partial 16S ribosomal RNA". It matches the Rfam family "Bacterial small subunit ribosomal RNA", at positions 29 to 507 of the family's 1533-position model. The record is from RNAcentral.
AGUGAACGCUGGCGGUAGGCCUAACACAUGCAAGUCGAACGGCAGCACAGUAAGAGCUUGCUCUUACGGGUGGCGAGUGGCGGACGGGUGAGGAAUACAUCGGAAUCUACUUUUUCGUGGGGGAUAACGUAGGGAAACUUACGCUAAUACCGCAUACGACCUACGGGUGAAAGCAGGGGAUCUUCGGACCUUGCGCGAUUGAAUGAGCCGAUGUCGGAUUAGCUAGUUGGCGGGGUAAUGGCCCACCAAGGCGACGAUCGGUAGCUGGUCUGAGAGGAUGAUCAGCCACACUGGAACUGAGACACGGUCCAGACUCCUACGGGAGGCAGCAGUGGGGAAUAUUGGACAAUGGGCGCAAGCCUGAUCCAGCCAUACCGCGUGGGUGAAGAAGGCGUUCGGGUUGUAAAGCCCUUUUGUUGGGAAAGAAAAGCAGUCGGUUAAUACCCCGCUGUUCUGACGGUACCCAAAGAAUAAGCACCGGCUAACUUCGUG